CCUACGGGUGGCAGCAGUGGGGGAUAUUGCACAAUGGGGGAAACCCUGAUGCAGCGACGCCGCGUGGGUGAAGAAGCGCCUCGGCGCGUAAAGCCCUGUCAGCAGGGAAGAAAAUGACGGUACCUGAAGAAGAAGCCCCUGCUAACUACGUGCCAGCAGCCGCGGUAAUACGUAGGGGGCAAGCGUUAUCCGGUUGUACUGGGUGUAAAGGGGGCGCAGGCGGCGAUGCAAGCCAGGAGUGAAAGCCCGGGGUCCAACCCCGGGACUGCUCUUGGAACUGCGUGGCUAGAGUGCAGGAGGGGCAGGCGGAAUUCCUGGUGUAGCGGUGAAAUGCGUAGAUAUAAGGAGGAACACCAGUGGCGAAGGCGGCCUGCUGGACUGCAACUGACGUUGAGGCCCGAAAGCGUGGGGAGCAAACAGGAUUAGAUACCCCAGUAGUC
This 440-nucleotide ribosomal RNA is filed under the name uncultured bacterium. RNAcentral describes it as "partial 16S ribosomal RNA". It matches the Rfam family "Bacterial small subunit ribosomal RNA", at positions 338 to 795 of the family's 1533-position model. The record is from RNAcentral.